Molecule: ribosomal RNA, 1435 nt
Filed under: uncultured organism
Description: 16S ribosomal RNA
Rfam family: Bacterial small subunit ribosomal RNA
Source: RNAcentral
CAGGCUUAACACAUGCAAGUCGAGGGGCAGCAUGGUCUUAGCUUGCUAAGGCCGAUGGCGACCGGCGCACGGGUGAGUAACACGUAUCCAACCUGCCGUCUACUCUUGGACAGCCUUCUGAAAGGAAGAUUAAUACAAGAUGGCAUCAUGAGUCCACAUGUUCACAUGAUUAAAGGUAUUCCGGUAGACGAUGGGGAUGCGUUCCAUUAGAUAGUAGGCGGGGUAACGGCCCACCUAGUCUUCGAUGGAUAGGGGUUCUGAGAGGAAGGUCCCCCACAUUGGAACUGAGACACGGUCCAAACUCCUACGGGAGGCAGCAGUGAGGAAUAUUGGUCAAUGGGCGCAGGCCUGAACCAGCCAAGUAGCGUGAAGGAUGACUGCCCUAUGGGUUGUAAACUUCUUUUAUAAAGGAAUAAAGUCGGGUAUGCAUACCCGUUUGCAUGUACUUUAUGAAUAAGGAUCGGCUAACUCCGUGCCAGCAGCCGCGGUAAUACGGAGGAUCCGAGCGUUAUCCGGAUUUAUUGGGUUUAAAGGGAGCGUAGAUGGAUGUUUAAGUCAGUUGUGAAAGUUUGCGGCUCAACCGUAAAAUUGCAGUUGAUACUGGAUAUCUUGAGUGCAGUUGAGGCAGGCGGAAUUCGUGGUGUAGCGGUGAAAUGCUUAGAUAUCACGAAGAACUCCGAUUGCGAAGGCAGCCUGCUAAGCUGCAACUGACAUUGAGGCUCGAAAGUGUGGGUAUCAAACAGGAUUAGAUACCCUGGUAGUCCACACGGUAAACGAUGGAUACUCGCUGUUUGCGAUAUACAGCAAGCGGCCAAGCGAAAGCGUUAAGUAUUCCACCUGGGGAGUACGCCGGCAACGGUGAAACUCAAAGGAAUUGACGGGGGCCCGCACAAGCGGAGGAACAUGUGGUUUAAUUCGAUGAUACGCGAGGAACCUUACCCGGGCUUAAAUUGCAGAUGAAUUACGGUGAAAGCCGUAAGCCGCAAGGCAUCUGUGAAGGUGCUGCAUGGUUGUCGUCAGCUCGUGCCGUGAGGUGUCGGCUUAAGUGCCAUAACGAGCGCAACCCUUGUUGUCAGUUACUAACAGGUUCCGCUGAGGACUCUGACAAGACUGCCAUCGUAAGAUGUGAGGAAGGUGGGGAUGACGUCAAAUCAGCACGGCCCUUACGUCCGGGGCUACACACGUGUUACAAUGGGGGGUACAGAGGGCCGCUACCACGCGAGUGGAUGCCAAUCCCAAAAACCUCUCUCAGUUCGGACUGGAGUCUGCAACUCGACUCCACGAAGCUGGAUUCGCUAGUAAUCGCGCAUCAGCCACGGCGCGGUGAAUACGUUCCCGGGCCUUGUACACACCGCCCGUCAAGCCAUGGGAGCCGGGGGGUACCUGAAGUGCGUAACCGCGAGGAGCGCCCUAGGGUAAAACUGGUGACUGGGGC